ACAUAUAUUCACAUAAUAAUCAUCUAGAAUUUUCGAAACAAUAUAUGAAAAUCAGUUUUAAAAAUAUAAUCAUUUAUCAAUAACACAAUAACCCGGGGUUUAAAUAUAAAACCUUGAAAACUCAUUAAACUGGAAUAAAAUAUUAAAUCUUAUUCCUUUCUUUUUAAGAAAAUCAUUUAUAAUAUUAAUAAAAAUAUUUUUAAAAUCCGGGUUAUUACAAUCUACCCUCCUUAUAGGGAUUCCGUCCUCGGAAUCAGAGAAAGAAGGAGGACGCAUAAUUUUGUAAAAUCCAUAUCAAUCCACAAAACAAGUAUAAUCACAUAAAACUAUUCACAUAAUCAAUUCACUUUUCAACUAAAGCCAACAAUAAUAUUUAGACAAAUAGAUUUAUAAUAAUCAAAUCUAAAUUUAAUAAUAUGGGAUAUUACAUUCUACCCCCCUUAUAAGGAUUCCGCCCUCGGAAUCCGCGAAGAAAACUAAAACGUAUCAUUUGUAAAAUCA
This 501-nucleotide long non-coding RNA is filed under the name Daucus carota (carrot). Its description in RNAcentral is "long non-coding RNA (DCAR_LNC003753)". Lineage: Eukaryota; Viridiplantae; Streptophyta; Magnoliopsida; Apiales; Apiaceae. The record is from RNAcentral.